CAGUAGCCGCGGUAAUACGGAGGGGGCUAGCGUUAUUCGGAAUUACUGGGCGUAAAGCACACGUAGGCGGAUCAGAAAGUCAGAGGUGAAAUCCCAGGGCUCAACCUUGGAACUGCCUUUGAAACUCCUGAUCUUGAGGUCGAGAGAGGUGAGUGGAAUUCCGAGUGUAGAGGUGAAAUUCGUAGAUAUUCGGAGGAACACCAGUGGCGAAGGCGGCUCACUGGCUCGAUACUGACGCUGAGGUGCGAAAGCGUGGGGAGCAAACAGGAUUAGAUACCCCCGUAGUCCCUGUCUCUUAUAA
This 301-nucleotide ribosomal RNA is filed under the name uncultured bacterium. RNAcentral describes it as "partial 16S ribosomal RNA". It matches the Rfam family "Bacterial small subunit ribosomal RNA", at positions 509 to 809 of the family's 1533-position model. The record is from RNAcentral.